RNAcentral lists this ribosomal RNA (153 nucleotides) under uncultured eukaryote. RNAcentral describes it as "partial 18S ribosomal RNA". It matches the Rfam family "Eukaryotic small subunit ribosomal RNA", at positions 1299 to 1458 of the family's 1831-position model. The record is from RNAcentral.
UGGUGGAGUGAUUUGUCUGGUUAAUUCCGUUAACGAACGAGACCUUAACCUAUUAAAUAGUUGUUUGAACUUGAUUUCUAAAAUCAAAUGUUCAACUAACUUCUUAGAGGGACUCUUCACUGAGAGAGUGAAUGGAAGUUUGAGGCAAAAACA